AACACGUGGGUGACCUGCCCUCCACUCUGGGAUAAGCCUGGGAAACCGGGUCUAAUACCGGAUAUGACCUCUGGGUGCAUGCCUGGUGGUGGAAAGUUUUUCGGUGGGGGAUGGGCCCGCGGUCUAUCAGCUUGUUGGUGGGGUGAUGGCCUACCAAGGCGACGACGGAUAGCCGGCCUGAGAGGGUGAUCGGCCACACUGGGACUGAGACACGGCCCAGACUCCUACGGGAGGCAGCAGUGGGGAAUCUUGCGCAAUGGGCGGAAGCCUGACGCAGCAACGCCGCGUGAGGGAUGACGGCCUUCGGGUUGUAAACCUCUUUCGCGAUCGACGAAGGUCAUACUUCUGGUAUGGCUGACGGUAGGUCGAGAAGAAGCACCGGCCAACUACGUGCCAGCAGCCGCGGUAAUACGUAGGGUGCGAGCGUUGUCCGGAAUUAUUGGGCGUAAAGAGCUCGUAGGCGGUGUGUCACGUCGGCCGUGAAAACCUGGGGCUCAACUCUGGGCGUGCGGUCGAUACGGGCAUCACUUGAGUUCGGCAGGGGAGACUGGAAUUCCUGGUGUAGCGGUGAAAUGC
This 576-nucleotide ribosomal RNA is filed under the name bacterium. RNAcentral describes it as "bacterial SSU rRNA". It matches the Rfam family "Bacterial small subunit ribosomal RNA", at positions 112 to 689 of the family's 1533-position model. The record is from RNAcentral.